RNAcentral lists this ribosomal RNA (461 nucleotides) under uncultured bacterium. RNAcentral's name for it is "bacterial SSU rRNA". It matches the Rfam family "Bacterial small subunit ribosomal RNA", at positions 33 to 507 of the family's 1533-position model. The record is from RNAcentral.
ACGCUGGCGGCGUGCUUAACACAUGCAAGUCGAACGGUGACCCAGGGCUUGCCCUGGUGAUCAGUGGCGAACGGGUGAGUAACACGUGGGCAACCUGCCCCUGACUUCGGGAUAACUCCUCGAAAGAGGAGCUAAUACCGGAUACGACCACUUCGGACAUCCGAUGGUGGUGGAAAGUUUUUCGGUCAGGGAUGGGCCCGCGGCCUAUCAGCUAGUUGGUGGGGUAAUGGCCUACCAAGGCGACGACGGGUAGCCGGCCUGAGAGGGCGACCGGCCACACUGGGACUGAGACACGGCCCAGACUCCUACGGGAGGCAGCAGUGGGGAAUAUUGCGCAAUGGGCGAAGGCCUGACGCAGCGACGCCGCGUGAGGGAUGAAGGCCUUCGGGUUGUAAACCUCUUUCAGCAGGGACGAAGCGAAAGUGACGGUACCUGCGGAAGAAGCACCGGCUAACUACGUG